This 253-nucleotide ribosomal RNA is filed under the name uncultured bacterium. RNAcentral describes it as "partial 16S ribosomal RNA". It matches the Rfam family "Bacterial small subunit ribosomal RNA", at positions 524 to 776 of the family's 1533-position model. The record is from RNAcentral.
UACGGAGGGUGCGAGCGUUGUUCGGAAUCACUGGGCGUAAAGCGCGUGUAGGCGGCCCAUUAAGUCUGAUGUGAAAGCCCGGGGCUCACCCCCGGAAGUGCAUUGGAAACUGAUGGACUCGAGUCCCGGAGAGGAGAGUGGAAUUCCUGGUGUAGCGGUGAAAUGCGUAGAUAUCAGGAGGAACACCGGUGGCGAAGGCGGCAUCCUGGACCAACACUGACACUGAAAAGCGAAAGCCAGGGGAGCAAACGGG